AUAAAUCCACACAGUGCUCACAGCAAUCAAACCGCUGGUACAAAUAACACUCAGCAGGGAAAUAUCUGAAACAAAGAUCUGUCAGAGUGGGCAAUCUCUCAUUCUUUGAGAGUACAGAAUAAACAGACAAAUUUUCAGUAUGUACAGUUGAUAAAAUGGCCAGUGGAUUGAAUACUAACACUUCAAUUUCCUAUGAAAUCGAGUGGUACUGGCUCGAGUUAAUAUAUUGACCUACUGUUUUGUGUUCAGCAACCUACAUCACAAGGACAGAAACUACGAAAAAGUAUUCUGGCAACGAAAAAAUGGAGGCAAAAUGUUCAGUGCUCCCAUGGAAAUGUCCUUGCUGGUGGGUACGUGGCAGUCUGCGAGGUCAUUCAUACUGAAACGUGUCUUGAUUACGCUUCCACAUUUUGUGUUCAUGCAUCCCAGACAGCUAAAUUGUAAUUUUUCCCCAAGAAGAGAAUAGCCAAAAAUCUGGGGAGCUGAAUGCAUUCCAGUUUUCGGCCUUGAGUGAUCUAAAUCUCGAUAUUAUCUGUUAGAAUGCUCCCAGCCAUGAAAAUGAUAAUGGAAAGCUAGACAUUUGUGUUUAUUUUAUUUGUUUAUGACAUUUUGUUCUCUCCUCUGUUAUUCUAAUGAAAUGUAUAUGAAGAAAAUAUUUAUGAAUCUAUAUUCCACCUUAGCCAUAAACACUCCUUUCAGUUAAUAGAGAGAAUUAAGUGCAUAUGAAAUUGUUGCACCCUUUCAUUCCAGACGAAUUUCUGUAUCUUGUCAUAGGGAAAGGACAACCGACAAUGAAUUGAUACACAAAUAGGAUGUUUUCUCAUUUGGUGUCAUGCUCCUUGAGUUGAUUACUGGUCGUAGGCCAAUAGAUACAACUCCAUCAUUUACUGAAGAUAAUCUAGUAGAUUGGCUUGACCCACCCUUACUCGAGCACUUGAAGAUGGCAAUGUUGAUGAACUUGUAGAUCGCCAGUUGCAGAACUAUAAUUCAAAUGAGAUGAUGCAACUGGUUGCAUGUGCAGCCUCUUGUGUUCGAUAUUCUGCAAGCAGACGCCCUCCUAUGGCACGGAUGGUUCGAGCCUUGGAAGGUGAUGUUUCUCUUGAUGAUCUAAAUGAGGGAAUGAAACCAGGGCAUAGCGUAUAGAUCAUAUGGAAGCACACACUAUGAUUCUAGCCAAUAUCUUCUUAAAGCUUUUCAUUGUUUUGGCUUAUCUUCUUAAAGCUUUUCAUUAUUUUGGCUUAUUCUAUAAAAUUUUAAGCAGAGCAUUGCAAUUGGAUGUCCAAAAUUUCCUAGACCUCAUUGGCUUGAUUACAGAACAUUGUGAAAAAAGGCCGAAGGUUUAGUACAUUGUCGCUGUAUUUCCCU
Cryptomeria japonica (Japanese cedar) is the source of this 1365-nucleotide long non-coding RNA. RefSeq lists it as uncharacterized. The transcript has 4 exons. Lineage: Eukaryota; Viridiplantae; Streptophyta; Pinopsida; Cupressales; Cupressaceae. The record is from RefSeq and is a predicted model, not a curated record.